GCAGGGAUCACAUCUACAACGGGCCCAGAAUGCCGCUGGCGGAGUGUUAACACGCACCAGUCACAGGGAUCACAUCUACAACGGGCCCAGAAUGCCGCUGGCGGAGUGUUAACACGCACCAGUCACAGGGAUCACAUCUACAACGGGCCCAGAAUGCCGCUGGCGGAGUGUUAACACGCACCAGUCACGGGGAUCACAUCUACAACGGGCCCAGAAUGCCGCUGGCGGAGUGUUAACACCCACCAGUCACAGGGAUCACAUCUACAACGGGCCCAGAAUGCCGCUGGCGGAGUGUUAACAUGCACCAGUCAUGGGGAUCACAUCUACAACGGGCCCAGAAUGCCGCUGGCGGAGUGUUAACACGCACCAGUCACAGGGAUCACAUCUACAACGGGCCCAGAAUGCCGCUGGCGGAGUGUUAACACGCACCAGUCACAGGGAUCACAUCUACAACGGGCCCAGAAUGCCGCUGGCGGAGUGUUAACACGCACCGGUCACAGGGAUCACAUCUACAACGGGCCCAGAAUCCCGCUGGCGGAGUGUUAACACGCACCAGUCACAGGGAUCACAUCUACGACGGGCCCAGAAUGCCGCUGGCGGAGUGUUAACACGCACCAGUCACAGGGAUCACAUCUACGACGGGCCCAGAAUGCCGCUGGCGGAGUGUUAACACGCACCAGUCACAGGGAUCACAUCUACGACGGGCCCAGAAUGCCGCUGGCGGAGUGUUAACACGCACCAGUCACAGGGAUCACAUCUACAAUGGGCCCAGAAUGCCGCUAGGGGAGUGUUAACACGCACCAGUCACAGGGAUCACAUCUACAACGGGCCUAGAAUGCCGCUGGCGGAGUGUUAACACGCACCAGUCACAGGGAUCACAUCUACAAUGGGCCCAGAAUGCCGCUGGCGGAGUGUUAACACGCACCAGGCACAGGGAUCACAUCUACAACGGGCCCAGAAUGCCGCUGGUGGAGUGUUAACACGCACCAGUCACAGGGAUCACAUCUGCAACGGGCCCAGAAUGCCGCUGGUGGAGUGUUAACACGCACCAGUCACGGGGAUCACAUCUACAACGGGCCCAGAAUGCCGCUGGCGGAGUGUUAACACGCACCAGUCACAGGGAUCACAUCUACAACGGGCCCAGAAUGCCGCUGGCGGAGUGUUAACACUCACCAGUCACAGAGAUCACAUCUACAACGGGCCCAGAAUGCCGCCGGCGGAGUGUUAACACGCACCAGUCACAGGGAUCACAUCUACAACGGGCCCAGAAUGCCGCUGGCGGAGUGUUAACACGCACCAGUCACAGGGAUCACAUCUACAACGGGCCCAGAAUGCCGCUGGCGGAGUGUUAACACGCACCAGUCACAGGGAUCACAUCUACAACGGGCCCAGAAUGCCGCUGGCGGAGUGUUAACACGCACCAGUCACAGGGAUCACAUCUACAACGGGCCCAGAAUGCCGCUGGCGGAGUGUUAACACUCACCAGUCACAGGGAUCACAUCUACAACGGGCCCAGAAUGCCGCUGGCGGAGUGUUAACACGCACCAGUCACAGGGAUCACAUCUACAACGGGCCCAGAAUGCCGCCGGCGGAGUGUUAACACGCACCAGUCACAGGGAUCACAUCUACAACGGGCCCAGAAUGCCGCUGGUGGAGUGUUAACACGCACCAGGCACAGGGAUCACAUCUACAACGGGCCCAGAAUGCCGCUGGCGGAGUGUUAACACGCACCAGUCACAGGGAUCACAUCUACAACGGGCCCAGAAUGCCGCUGGCGGAGUGUUAACACGCACCAGUCACAGGGAUCACAUCACACCUGCUCUCACAUCCCUGCACUGGCUUCCUCUGGCUUCUAGGAUUGAUUUUAAAGUUCAUUUGCUAAUUUGUAAAUAUUUACGUGGUUUAGCUCUGUCCUGCCUCAGUAACAUGACUGUAAGGUAUGUCCCAGGCAGAUCAGUCAGAUCAUCCGGCAGUAAUUUACUGAUUACUCCUAAAACCCGGCUGGGGAGGGAGGGGGCAGCUUUCAGUUACUAUGGGUCCAAAAUCUGGAACUCUCUCCCAGAAAACCUGAGAGCUACUGAAUGUCUCAGUACUUUCAAAACUAGGCUGAAAAGGCAUCUUUUCACCAACGCAUAUAAUAAUCUAUGAUAAUCAGUUUUAUUAUUUUAUGCUUUUAUUAAUAUCGGUAAUUGUGGGGGGGCGGGGGGGCG
Molecule: long non-coding RNA, 2210 nt
Organism: Brienomyrus brachyistius
Lineage: Eukaryota; Metazoa; Chordata; Actinopteri; Osteoglossiformes; Mormyridae
Exons: 3
Source: RefSeq, a predicted model, not a curated record